Molecule: long non-coding RNA, 3298 nt
Filed under: Oryzias javanicus (javanese ricefish)
Lineage: Eukaryota; Metazoa; Chordata; Actinopteri; Beloniformes; Adrianichthyidae
Description: lncRNA (ENSOJAG00000024038.1)
Source: RNAcentral
AUGGAGCCCUGUCCACCCCAGAAUGUAUCAGUAAAUGCUUCCUGUGAGACUCACAGUGCUGUGAUAUCCUGGAAUCAAUCUCCUGUUGCUAAAUCUUACCAAGUGGUAGCUACGGGGGCAAACGGUCACAAACAUAUGUGCAACUCCUCCUCCACGAGCUGCAGCCUCACAGAGCUCCACUGUGAUGAGCGGUACACAGUUUCUAUGACUGCAAGUCACGAGAACUGCACCAGUAAAGCCAGUCAAAAUGCAACCCUGAAAACAGGUCCUUGCCAGCCAAGUAACGUUGCAGUUUCUUACAACUGUAGUAGUCGAUCUGCGUUGUUUACAUGGAUGCCCAGCAAAAAUUCACAGGACUAUUAUGGCACUGUACAGACAGGAAGUGGAGACAAGAUUCAAUGUCACAACACAAACCCAACAUGCACCAUUGAUAAUCUUGAAUGUGGGGUAUCAUACAACUUCUCUGUCCAAGCCUCUGAUGGGACAUGCAACAGCUCCUACAGUGACCAUGUGCAGUUAGGAGGAGUUCCUUGUCCUCCUAAUAGCAUCAAGCUGCAGCUGCUGCCAAUGGAAAUGGAAGUGCAGUUGUUGCACUUCUCCUGGACGCGUGUCACCUGUGGAAGCGUUGAGUAUCUGCUGACUCUGACAGGAAGUCUGCAAGGACCGUCAAACCUCUUUGAAGUCUCAUCCUACUGGACGAGCACAGAUUUCUUUGAGAUUCCUCUCCCCUGCAGUUCAUCUUACACUGCCAUGUUGCAAAGCAGGAACGCUGCAGGAACGAGUGGCAAAUCUGCUCCCCUUAAUGGAACAACAGGUAGAUUAUAUAGUUAUGAAGGCCAAGAGUUCUCAGAUACUGGUACAGCUAUUUCUUAUAAACUGACAUCUUGGUUCAUUCAAGGUGUCUUUUGGCUGCUCCAUUUAGGGGGCACCACAAUGAAUAAUCCACCUUCUUCUUUGAAACCUCCAUCACACCAACACCUUCAUGUCCUCCUUCACUACAUCCAUGAACUUCUUCUGGUAUUCCCUUACCCUUCUUUCCUGGUAGCUCAGAAUCCUUUUACCCACAGAAUUGUUGACCCUCAUCUGAACAUCUACCAACCAUCUCAAUCUGCUUCACUGCAUUUGUCUCCAACACAUUUAACAUCCUUGCCCUUAGACCAGGGGUAUUCAACUCCAGGCCUCAAGGGCCACAGUGUCUGCAUUAUUUCCAGAUAUCCAAACUCUACUCAUGACUGAUUACCUGGUUCAGGUGUGUCCAACCAAUUGGAGCAUGCCAGAUCCGGGUAUGUUGGAAAACCUGCAGGAAUGCGGCCCUCGAGGCCUGGAGUUGAAUACCCCUGCCUUAGACCCUCCUUCUAAACAAGGUUAAGCCCAAAAAAAAAACAGUUUCUGGGAAAAUAAAAAAGAAGAACCCCUCAGGGAAGUCUACAUGAGGAGAGAUCCUCUCCCAGGACGGACAGGCGACGUACUUGGACUGUCAAAUAAAAAUUGCCUUAUCUACUGUAACUCUACAACUACAUGUUUGAAUAGACGGGCUUUAUCCAGAUAGAGCUGGGACAGCUGGGGGCGCGAGACAAGCCAGAGGCAAGGUCUACUGCCAAGGAUAGGAGUACAGAUGAUCCUUCAUCAAGAUGGAACAAGGGACAGGUGGGGGCAUGAGACGAGCCAGAGGCAAGGUCCACUGCCAAGAACAGGAGCCUAGAGAAUCUGAGUCACCUCAUCCAUCUUACUCCAGAACUACUUCUCUAGUUCACAUCCUAUUGGAAGGAUACGACCCCUGGCAACAUUUAACAUCAUAACUUCUAACUUCAGACUCAUCCCCUAUCUGACUUUCUCUUCAACUCAAUUUUUAACGAACUUCUCCUUCAGGAUCACUCCUGCUCCCUUUCGCUUUCCAUCUGGUCUCAUGAACACAGUAGAACCACAGUUUUUCUUUCCAUUUUGUCUCUUGUUUUUCCUGUCUAGGUCCCAACAUUCAAGGUCCUUACUUUGAGUCUUGUACCCUUGACUUUCCUUUCUCUUUCUCUCUCUGUGCCUGCAAAAAUUCCUACAGUUCCUUUCUCCAGCAAUUGCCACAUUUUCACCAACACUCUAAAAGUCAACAAGUACCAGCGCCGAUUCUUGAUAACGUAUGAAAGUUCUGUUCAUCCCAUCCUGACACAACCUUCUGUAUUGGCCAGACUUGGGACCAGUACAUUACAACAUUGGAUUACGCCCCCAUGUGGUUGCAUUUUGUACUAAAAAUGAAAGAAGUCAUUUGGUAGUUUUCUGCAAACUCAUUUUAAUUUCUGUCUGUUCCUCAGCCCCUUGUCCACCGUCAGGAAUACUGUUCAGCGGUAACAGCUCGUUUGCCAAGGUGUCGUGGAAUAUGUCAGUGUAUGCCACCAUGUAUACCGUUUAUGACAACAGUGUAAAGCCAAGAGUCAAACUUUGCAACACUACCACACUGUCCUGCUCUUUGUCCAAUCUCAUUUCUAAUAAUCUGGUGGUCACUGCAAGCAAUGCAGCCGGAGAAAGUCAAGCAACAAGCGUCCCCAACGGUAGGAACUGAGGUUUUUGUUUUUAUGUACACUUUUUCAAACUUUUACACCAACUAAAUUGAGCUUUUCCUCUUUAGUGGUACUGCAACGCAGAAGGAGAGACCUCAGGACACAAAUGUCAAAGGAUGGUGAGUUUUAAUUUGCCUUUUAGUAAAUUUUUGAAACAAAAAUAAGUUGUUGCCCUUAACUCCACUCAUUUUCUCUGCAUCAGGAAGCGCCUCAGCUCCACUACUGGAGGUUACACAGGUCACGCCAACAGGCAUUUGGCUCCAGUGGUCCCCAGUGAAGAGGGCUUCACACUACAUUCUGCUGAUCACCAAACAAGGCGGCUCCGGUAGUCAGAAACUGACUGUGUACGGAGAAAUCAUAAACGUCCCAGAUCUGAGCCCCAACUCCACCUACUGCUUCUCUGUGACGCCCGUUUAUGGCUCUACGAAUGGACCACACUCAGAGCCCGUGUGCACACAAACAAUUGAAGAUCUGCAGUAAAUGAAAGGCUUGUUUGAACAAAACUGAAAUAUUCUGAUUACAUGUAAUGUUAGCCUAUCUCUAUAGUAUGUAAAGAUUGUACAAGUUUAAUUAAAAAUUUCUGCAGAUCUUUAGAAAUUUCAUUUUGUGAUUUAAGGCUAUGUUUGAUUCAACCUUUACACUGAAAGGCAUUGAUUUUAUUUUAAAGACCCAUUCCAAUGAAAAUUGUGUUUUUAACAUGUUUUUGUGGAAUGAAUGACAUGUAUAAAGAGAAUUAAACUUAAAUUUGC